UCAACACAGAGCUAUAAUGCUAGUACACACCCAUAUGUAUGCAUCCUGAGCAUUGAGAAGAGACAGUUUUAUGUGGAUUUAGAGAUAUAACAUAGCAAAAUUAUCCAGAAUAUUACAAUAGCAUUUCAUGGCUUUGUUAAAAUGCCCUAAAAGACACAAGUGCUGAGCCUUUCAGCACCACCAGCCAAGUGCUGUGCUAUGAAAUACUGCUGAUGCUAGCAAAUACUACUGAUGCUGCCAAACAUCGCAGCCCUUUGGCUUGUGUUACUCGGUAGUCAUGAACUUUGCACAUCUGCAAAAGCUGGUCUGAGCUGGUCUCACUCUGGCUCAGGCUUUGCUGUCCUUGAUGUCAUAGAUGAGAAGAGCUGCAGGAGUAGGGGGGAUGGUGGCAUCCGUAGAAGACAUGCCAAAGUCUGAAUCAUGCAAGAAAGUGAUUAAUGCUGAUUAAUGCCAUUCCCUUCCAGAUAAGCUCCUGAUGGGUCCGGCUGCCAAGCUACACAAGCUACAGACUCAUUGGAUGAUGCUGUCAGUCAGCCAGACUUCACAUGGGCACAAAUUGUACUUUCUACAGAGGAAGCGGAAGAGAAAAAAAACAAAAAGAAGAUGAGUGCAAGACCACUAAUCUUUGCACUGGUCUCUGCCAGUUAAAGUUUUACAUUACUGGAGAAGAGCACAAGUUUCCAGGUGGUGAUGGUUCAUAGAGACAUUCCUCGGCCACUGCUCGCUGCCAGGCAGCAUCACUGGGGACAUACCUGUACACCCGCACUCAUCCUGCCCAAAACCACUGCUUUACCAAGACCUCCAGGCAAAGGGAAUUGUGACUUGGAGCCCUGAAAAGCCGUUUGACCUCCAUCACCUGCUGAACACCCCAGGUUUUAUUUACCAAAACAGAAAAGGCAUGGCUGAAUGUUGAAGUUUUGUGUUUUAUUGUGGUUGGCACCAGAAAUGUGUUUGCUCUGCGGUAUGCUCAGAUACACACUCCAUAGACAAGCCUCCUUCAAUACUAGUUUUUUGUUAUUUUUGUCUCAACUGAUGCUAAGAUUUU
This is a long non-coding RNA of Neopsephotus bourkii (Bourke's parrot), 1045 nucleotides long. RefSeq lists it as uncharacterized. The record is from RefSeq and is a predicted model, not a curated record. NCBI's taxonomy places the organism in Eukaryota, Metazoa, Chordata, Aves, Psittaciformes, Psittacidae. The transcript is spliced from 2 exons.